Phragmites australis (common reed) is the source of this 2562-nucleotide long non-coding RNA. RefSeq lists it as uncharacterized. The transcript is spliced from 2 exons. The record is from RefSeq and is a predicted model, not a curated record. NCBI's taxonomy places the organism in Eukaryota, Viridiplantae, Streptophyta, Magnoliopsida, Poales, Poaceae.
ACCUGGCAGCAUAAACAUUCAAAAUAUACUUGUCAAACAUAGUUGGCAACCUAUAGGCAACACUGUCACUGUACCUAUAAAUUGCUGAGUUUUUACUUUUCCAACCAAGUUAUGUUACCGAUGUCACUAUUGUGUUGAAAAGGUGACAUCGGCCAGCAUGUGUUUAUUAGAAUCUGUUAAGGCUCAUGUAUCAUCUAGGUUCAUAUUGGCCCAUCUCAUGGCUAUAUAUACACAUUCAACCUAAUGGCGUGAUUAUCUUCUCUAUUCCCCCAAGGUUAGUAACAUGGUAUCAGAGCAUGAUUUAGGGUUAGGGUUAGGCUUAAUCUAAUCCACCCGAAUCUAUUUUUCACCGUCCUCGCCACCAGGUUGCCUGCCAUAGCGUGUCCUGGCCUUUUUUUCCCAUCACAGCCUGUCGUUGUUCAAUCGAUUGCCAUCGCGGUCUAUUAGGUCGCCGUCGCGACCGUCUUCGUUCGUCAGGCGACUAUCGCGGCCGCCCCACCCUCAGAUCACCGUCGCCUCGCACCUUGUAGUGACCGUCUUCGUUGGCUAUCGCGGCCGCCUUGACCUCAGGCCACCCAAUGCUGCACUCCUUGGAUCCGCCUGUCGUGGAGUUCAUCUUCAAGCUGCCCGUUGCAACCUCCAUCCAAGCACCACCCGUUACAGCCGUCAUGGAGUUGCUCCUAGGCAAACCCGCCGCCUUCUGAUUCAAUUGCUUCCGCACAUCAGGCCGCCGUCAGGGUCUCUCCGUCGUCUCUGCCUGUACGUCGGCUUUCAUCAACUACCACCGGCCCUUAUCUCCAUCCCCAGCUGCCAUCUGCAGUUGCUGCUGUGUCUACUGUUCCUGUAUGGUCUGUGGGCUGCCAUCGAAGUAUUGUUGCUACCGUGGGCUUGCUGUUGUGGGCUGUUUGCUGCUGCACUUGUUCCUGUGUGGGGAUCGAUCCGACUGCCUGCUGUUUUAUCCUGGCACUUGUUCAGUACUGCUGCUGGUGAGCUUUGAUGGUGUUGUUGCUGUGCUCAUCCCCUGCAAGAACAGAGGUAUUCCUCCAUUACUACUGUUGGUAACAUCUCUAUUGCAGCACAAAUCCUUUUAGCACUUCAACCAUGUCACAGCUCAAUACAACUGCUAUCAAUAUCACUCUUGAUGGUCAAAAUUAUCGGGAGUGGGCAUUUUGUGUAGAGACUGCAUUGAGGGGUUAUGGUCUAGCAUUUCAUUGAACCGAUGAUCCACCCAUAUGUAAGUCUGAUGGUUUUAAUGCUGCUGAAAUCAAAACAUGGCAAAUUAAUGAUGGCAAGGUGAUGGCUGCCGUGGUCAAUAGCACUAAGCAAUCUAUGAUUAUGAGCUUUUCUAAGUUUAAGACAAUGAAGACCAUGUGGUCUUCAUUGCAACGGCGCUAUGUUCAGGAUAGUGGUGCCCUUUUGCACUCUCUCAUGCAGCAAAUCCAUGUAAUUGAAUAGAAUGAUAUGUCCAUUGAUGAGUACUACUCUGCUUUUGAUCGUUUGAUGGGUCCCUUGAUCACCAUGGUACCUCAAUGCACAGCGGAGGAGUGUACAACUCAAACAUUUAUUGAAAAGUUUCUUACAUACCGAUUUGUCAUGGGAGUAAGGGCAAAAUUUGAGUCCAUUCGUACAUAGUUGCUUCACAAUUCUUCUACUCUAACCAUGGCACAAGCACUAUUUGAUUUGAUUGCUGAAGAGACCUGUCUCAAGUCCAUGUCUGCUGCUUGUGUCAAUACCUCAUAGUGUGCUGGCAGCUUCCUAGAGGAUCAGUGCAUCUAGAGGUAGCUCUUCAGAGCCUUGUGAGCAUUGCAAGAAGACUGAUCAUCGUUCAGAAAAUUGUUUAGCUCAGCAUCCAGAGAAAUUGAUCGAGUAUCGUGCACAUCAUGCUCGUAGGCGUGGGGCUUCUUUUCAUGUGACAUUUGAUCAGUCCCUGUUGGUUGCUUGCAAGAUGGUCACUGAUGGUGCUUCUAUUCAGACAGCUGAUAGUACAUCUUGUCAUAUCACUCAUCAGGGUUCACUUUGCAAUUCUCAUUUUUCUGUACCCGAUGUUUCUUUUGUACCUAAGUUGCUCGUGAAUCUUCUUUCAGUAGGUCAAGUUACCAAUCAUAACUGCUUUGUUGGAUUUGAUGACUCAUCUUGUUUUAUUCAGGAUCGUCGAAGCGGGAUUGUGAUUGGGACUGGCCAUCACGUAGAGGUGCUCACAGCCUUUAUGUUUUGGACACCUUGCAUCUUCCUUCUUCCGUUACCCCUACUGCUCAUAUGUCAUCUGAUCCGUCGUCAUACGAUUCUUCCUUCGCUAAGUAGCAUCAUCGUCUUGGUCAUCUAUGUGGGUCUCGAUUGUUUACAUUAAUAAAUAAAGAUUGUUUAGAUCAUACAUCUAUCGAGUCUAGCUUUCAUUGUAAAGGUUGCAAGCUUUGAAAAAAGAUACAACUUCCAUAUUCCUCUAGUGCUUCUCAUUCUGCUAGACCUUUUGAUCUUAUUCAUUCAGAUGUAUGGGAUCCUGCACCUUUUGCUACAAAGGACGGUCAUAAGUAUUAUGUCAUUUUUAUUGAUGAUCAUUCUCGA